CCUACGGGGGGCAGCAGUAGGGAAUCUUCCACAAUGGGCGAAAGCCUGAUGGAGCAACGUCGCGUGGGUGAAGAAGUAUUUCGGUAUGUAAAGCUCUAUCAGCAGGGAAGAAAAAAGACGGUACCUGACUAAGAAGCCCCGGCUAACUACGUGCCAGCAGCCGCGGUAAUACGUAGGGGGCAAGCGUUAUCCGGAUUUACUGGGUGUAAAGGGAGCGUAGACGGCAAUACAAGUCGGAAGUGAAAUACCCGGGCUCAACCUGGGAACUGCUUUGGAAACUGUAUGGCUGGAGUGCUGGAGAGGUA
This 305-nucleotide ribosomal RNA is filed under the name uncultured bacterium. Its description in RNAcentral is "bacterial SSU rRNA". It matches the Rfam family "Bacterial small subunit ribosomal RNA", at positions 338 to 659 of the family's 1533-position model. The record is from RNAcentral.